GAUGAACGCUGGCGGCGUGCCUAAUACAUGCAAGUCGAGCGAACAGACGAGGAUCUUGCUCCUCUGACGUUAGCGGCGGACGGGUGAGUAACACGUGUAUAACCUACCUAUAAGACUGGGAUAACUUCGGGAAACCGGAUCUAAUACCGGAUAAUAUAUUGAACCGCAUGGUUCAAUAGUGAAAGACGGUUUUGCUGUCACUUAUAGAUGUAUCCGCGCCGCAUUAGCUAGUUGGUAAGGUAACGGCUUACCAAGGCUACGAUGCGUAGCCGAUCUGAGAGGGUGAUCGGCCACACUGGAACUGAGACACGGUCCAGACUCCUACGGGAGGCAGCAGUAGGGAAUCUUCCGCAAUGGGCGAAAGCCUGACGGAGCAACGCCGCGUGUGUGAUGAAGGUCUUCGGAUCGUAAAACUCUGUUAUUAGGGAAGAACAAAUGUGUAAGUAACUAUGCACGUCUUGACGGUACCUACUCAGAAAGCACCGGCUAACUACGUG
This 497-nucleotide ribosomal RNA is filed under the name uncultured bacterium. Its description in RNAcentral is "partial 16S ribosomal RNA". It matches the Rfam family "Bacterial small subunit ribosomal RNA", at positions 28 to 507 of the family's 1533-position model. The record is from RNAcentral.